CUUUAAAAGUGUCCUGUACCAAGUCAGGAAGAUGGCCAUUGUUAUAAUAUUGUUCGUUUCUGUGUGUGUUGCAUUUUAACGUUGAGUCGUUUGUGUUUUCUCUUAUUUUUUUAGAUAAGACGUGGCACGGUACUUAUCUAUCCCAAAUUCUUGUAUUUGGUUUUGAUGUUAUAUUUGUUAUUCUCGUGGUGUUUUGUCUGUUGCUUGGUCCGUUUCUGUGUGUGUUGCGUUUCGGUGUUGUGUCGUUGUUCUCCUCUUAUAUUUAAUGCGUUUCCCUCGGUUUUAGUUUGUUACCCCGAUUUUGUUUUUUGUCCAUGGAUUUAUGAGUUUUGAACAGCGGUAUACUACUGUUGCCUUUAUUUGUU
Molecule: long non-coding RNA, 365 nt
Filed under: Mytilus galloprovincialis (Mediterranean mussel)
Lineage: Eukaryota; Metazoa; Mollusca; Bivalvia; Mytilida; Mytilidae
Source: RNAcentral